RNAcentral lists this ribosomal RNA (119 nucleotides) under Pteropus alecto (black flying fox). Lineage: Eukaryota; Metazoa; Chordata; Mammalia; Chiroptera; Pteropodidae. The record is from RNAcentral.
AUCUAUGGCCAUGCCACCCUGAACAAGCUCAAUCCCAUCUGAUCUCAGAAGCUAAGCAGGGUCGGGCCUGGUUAGUAAUUGGAUGGGAGACUACCAAGGAAGACCAGGUGCUGUAGGCA